GGACUACUAGGGUAUCUAAUCCUGUUCGCUCCCCACGCUUUCGCUCCUCAGCGUCAGUACAGGCCCAGAGAACCGCCUUCGCCACCGGUGUUCCUCCCGAUAUCUGCGCAUUUCACCGCUACACCGGGAAUUCCAUUCUCCCCUGCCUGCCUCUAGUCUGCCCGUAUCCACUGCAGGCUCGGGGUUAAGCCCCGAGAUUUCACAGCAGACGCAACAAACCGCCUACGAGCUCUUUACGCCCAAUAAUUCCGGACAACGCUUGCGCCCUACGUGUUACCGCGGCGGCUGGCAC
Molecule: ribosomal RNA, 292 nt
Filed under: uncultured bacterium
Lineage: Bacteria
Description: partial 16S ribosomal RNA
Source: RNAcentral